RNAcentral lists this ribosomal RNA (301 nucleotides) under uncultured bacterium. RNAcentral's name for it is "partial 16S ribosomal RNA". It matches the Rfam family "Bacterial small subunit ribosomal RNA", at positions 509 to 807 of the family's 1533-position model. The record is from RNAcentral.
CAGCCGCCACGGUAAAACGAAGGGGGCUAGCGUUGCUCGGAAUGACUGGGCGUAAAGGGCGCGUAGGCGGCGGCCAAAGUCAGGCGUGAAAUUCCUGGGCUCAACCUGGGGGCUGCGCUUGAUACUUGGUUGCUUGAGUGGGGAAGAGGGUCGUGGAAUUCCCAGUGUAGAGGUGAAAUUCGUAGAUAUUGGGAAGAACACCGGUGGCGAGGGCGGCGACCUGGUCCUUGACUGACGCUGAGGCGCGAAAGCGUGGGGAGCAAACAGGAUUAGAUACCCCUGUAGUCCCUGUCUCUUAUAC